RNAcentral lists this ribosomal RNA (253 nucleotides) under uncultured bacterium. Its description in RNAcentral is "partial 16S ribosomal RNA". It matches the Rfam family "Bacterial small subunit ribosomal RNA", at positions 524 to 776 of the family's 1533-position model. The record is from RNAcentral.
GACAGAGGGUGCAAACGUUGUUCGGAAUUACUGGGCGUAAAGCGAGUGUAGGCGGUCUCAUAAGUCAGGGGUGAAAGCCCCGGGCUCAACCCGGGAAGUGCACUUGAAACUGCGAGGCUAGAGUAUCGGAGAGGUUGGUGGAAUUCUCGGUGUAGAGGUGAAAUUCGUAGAUAUCGAGAGGAACACCGGUGGCGAAGGCGGCCAACUGGACGAAUACUGACGCUGAGACGCGAAAGCGUGGGUAGCAAACAGG